This 547-nucleotide ribosomal RNA is filed under the name Elaphomyces muricatus. RNAcentral's name for it is "SSU rRNA". It matches the Rfam family "Bacterial small subunit ribosomal RNA", at positions 374 to 953 of the family's 1533-position model. The record is from RNAcentral. Lineage: Eukaryota; Fungi; Ascomycota; Eurotiomycetes; Eurotiales; Elaphomycetaceae.
GCCUAAAGGCUGAACCAGUAACUUGGAAGAAUGUAAAUGUAUUAUUCAUUAAUACAAUAACGAUUAAUUCGUAUAAAAUUCUAAAUAGAAUAAUGAUAAUGACAAUUAUCUAUUUAUAAGUCUUGACCAAAUUACGUGCCAGCAGUCGCGGUAAUACGUAAAAGACUAGUGUUAGUCAUCUUUAUUAGGUUUAAAGGGUACCUAGACGGUAAAUUAAACUCUUAUUGAGUAUCUUUUUACUAGAGUUUUAUAAGAGAAGGAAGAAUUUUUGGAGUAGUGAUAAAAUACUUUUAUACCAAAAAGACUGAUAACGGCGAAGGCAUCCUUCUAUGUAAAAACUGACGUUGAGGGACGAAGGCUUGGGUAGCAAUAAGGAUUAGAUACCCUAGUAGUCCAAGCAGAAAAUGAUGAAUGUCAUAAGCUAGAUAACUAAUUUAGUAUAUAAAUGAAAGUGUAAGCAUUCCACCUCAAGAGUAAUAUGGCAACAUAUAAACUGAAAUCAUUAGACCGUUUCUGAAACCAGUAGUGAAGUAUGUUAUUUAAUUCA